GAAGGCCGACACGGGAAGCGACCCUCGGUGGUGCGCGGAUGUCGUGAGGUUAGGUUCGCCAUGCAUGGUUAAAGAACUCAAAUCGAUUCGUCUACCUCUCACAGUUUGAGACUGCUUGAUCGCUAUGCUACACUGAGUAACAAUGAAAUAUGAUGAUGACAUGGUCUUGGUGAUGUUAUAUAUACCCUUUUGGUUGGUUCUAUGCUUGCUUAGAGUAGGUUGCUAACUUAGAUCGGAUAACAAACUUAGAAUCUGAGCUAAAACUUUUCAAAUAAGGAUCUACAUAGUGCUUUUGGCAAACAAACCCCCUUAGCCAAAGAGCCGACAUGUCUAGAAGUGGUGGAGUAGCUUACUCCCGUCGGUUAAGUCUUGUUGAGCUUACUAGCUCAGCCUUGUUGUGGCUUUUCUUUUUCAGGUGAAGUUGCUGCUCCCGAGUCCUCCCCUGUUGGCACUUGGCCGCCCCAACUCCCUCCGGGUUGGACGGUCGACUGGGAUCCCUCCUCGGACGGCGAGGAGAGGGAUCACUGACGUCUUGGCAGGCCUCACCAAGGACGUCCGACCCCGACGAAGUAGCUUCCGCUCGUUUUUGCCUUCUGUCUUUUUUGUUUGAACCUUGUAAAAACUCUAAUAUUGUUUGAUGUUGAACUAAAAUGGUCAAUUUGUUUAACUUGGUGGACUUGUUGUAUUCUCUGGAACCACUCACCUUCGUGUGGGUUUUGCUAAACUCGGUCCUGUCAAAGUGGUUAAAUCGGAGGGAAUCCGACGGCAUCUCGAGUUAGCCCAAUUAAGGCCGAGUGUCGCAUGUUAGGUGACUUAACCAUACCUUGAUUUGGCUAAUCCGAGGUGGAUCCGCCACAGCUGGUAUCAGAGCUGGCUUAGCAAGCCAGAGAACAAAAUAGGCCCUAAUCACUUCUUUUAAAUAAAAGUUGCAAAGAAACCUUUUGAAAAAUCUCGUACGAUCGUUAAGGAUGACUUUAGUACGAGACGCCCUAGGGGAUUUUGGGGUUGUUUUAGGUGGCUAAUACUUAUUGGUUAUCUUGCUAACCCUCCAGCACUUCGCCACGUGUAUCAUACGUAUGCCGAGUCUGCAUCACGAGUAUGCGAGGGUUGAUAGGGAGUUCUAUUCAAAGGACCCUAUCAUUGCGGUUGUUUCUCCCACGUUUAUCAUACGUGCACAGAUUUCGUAUGUUAAUUCAUACGAAGGGUGAUAUGGUUCGAUUCCAACAAGCCUAUCAUCACGGUUGUUCGCCACGUUUGUUAUACGUGCGCUGAUCCCGCAUCACGAGUAUGCGAAGGGUUAUACGGUUCCAUUCAAAAGGGACCUAUUUCCACGGUUGUGUGCUGUCCAUGCAGCCUUGAACGCAUGGGUGUGCCGUUCCUAUAGUGAACGGUAAUGUUUAGGGACGCUUUCGUGGGUGCUAGCAUGAAAGGUUCAUGUGGUUGUGUUUUCUGCAGGUACACUAACCGCGUUUGCUUAGGAGACGCUACUAGAACCGACUAGCUACUAUAGGGAGAGACGUAAUUGUUGCCUUGCCACCGGCACUGACUGCGUAAGACCAAGUUUUGGCAGUUGUUUUGGUUGAGAAACAAGGUAGGCCGUGCAUGCGACAUAAACUAAAAUCUGUGAAACCACCCUCCCCAAAAGGAACCUUGCCUUGGAAAAGCUCUUCUUCGGUUCUAAGGACUUCUAGUUUUCUUCCAGCUUGUGUUCGGUCAAAUCCGAGUGCUUUUUCUGUCCGACCCCUUUUCUUCUUAGAGUUCUAUCUCAUGCUGUUUUGGUUCUUGGUUCCAGAUGGCCGCUCCCAGACACGUUCUGUACGGCGCCGAGGGCAUCUCCCACUCGACGUGCUUGCACUUCAAGGGUUUUCCCGCUAUUUUGUGGGACACCUUGAGGUGGUUCGGGUAUCAGUCCCCGCCCUUGUACAUGGGACGGAUGUACACAGCGUUCAGAGGUGCAACGUGCAGGCGGUGGUACCUCAACCCCCUGUGCGGCCCGAGUGGCCCUAGCUCGAAAUCUUGACGUACGGACACGCCCUGGAAGAUACAUGGGAGUCGGUUGCUCUACAACUCCUCACCCAGUUCUGUCAGCUGCACCCGCUGGAGGUCACCCUGGACCCAAUCGGCCUGUUCCCUGCGAGGGAUCGGCUAGACCCGGCGUGGCUGGAUCGUGUCAACAACAUAGAGGUGUUGGCCACAUCCCACUCGAUGGUCACCAUCUCCACCAAUGUUAGGUGCAUAUCGGCCCUAUAUCGGCUGAUCGAGCUUCAAGGCCAAAUCAACUCAUCCAAAGAGGCAUCCAAAUCCACGACAUGCAAGACCGAAUCUCCGAGCUUGAGGGAGAAGUAACCGAUCUAGUGGAUGGCAUGAUCGAGCUGUCCGAGGAGAAGAUGGAGCUAGCAGUUGCCAAUGCCCAUCUGGACGAGCAUCACGCUAAGCUCGACGAUAUGCACGCCCUUCAGAUGCAGUUGGAAGAGCAAGAAGACCCUGAGGAGGUUGAGGGAGCGUCCAGCAUGGACAUUGAGGAUGAUGGCGCCCCUUCUCCAACUCACAGUGUUCCCUCGUAGGUCAGGAACUGUAGGAUCCCAUCUUUUGUUGUACUCCUCGGCAACCGAAGUUUUGGAUAGUCCUGUAAUAGGUUAGCCUUGAGUUGAGUACUUCCUCCUGUGUUUCAAGACCCGCAAUGUAAUGAUCUCAAUUGAAAUAAGAUCUUAGCCUGACCUUUGAGUCCUUUGCAACACGUUUGGGAUGCCAGACUGUGUGAGUUUGUGCUGUGACCACACGCCCGUUUUCUGUGGAUCUGUCCAAAGCUGGCCGACCCCGGGUUGCGAGGUCGGACGCGCCCGACCCCUCGAGGCAAUUCUCUGCCUCGCCCGACCCUUCUUGUGCGGUUCACUUUGCCCGACCCUUCUCGUGCAGAUCGCUUCACCCGACCCCUUCCUGAGCGGUUUGCUUCACCCGACCCCUUCUCGUGCAGAUCGCUUCACCCGACCCCUUCUUGUGUUGUUUUGCCUAGCCCGACCCCUUGGCCUAAGAUCGGAUAUAAUGGAACUCCUGGAAUCUAGUUAUGGUUCGCUUGAAGUCGUGUGCAGAGCUAAGAUAGAUGCUAACUAAGAUGGCAAUAGGAAGUGUGUGUCUCCCUUAUAAAGCUGUGUGUUGCAUUGUCGGCAAGAGUCACAUUUGAGGAUUUAACUUGUGCGUUCCCAUCUAUUUGGAAUACUUCUGAGGUUAUGGGAUUAAUGGAACGUUGGCUCUUGCAGAUGGCGCAUCACACCAUGUCCGGCUCUGUGCCCAGCAGCAGUGAGCAGAGGCAGGAUCUUCCCCUGCCCCCGCCCCCGUCUCCGCUGGAGGCAAUCUUAGCGGCUCGAACCGAGCUGCUGAGGCAUCUCGUGCAGGGGCAAUAGCAGCAACAGCCCCAUGGAGGAAGGGCUCAGCAGCAGCCUCAUGUUGCUCGCUAUGAGGACUUCUUGGGGACGCAGCCCCCUUUGUUCCAGAGGAUGCAAGACCCGCUCGAUAUCGACGCCUGGGUUCGCACAAUCAAAUCCAAGUUCGAGUUUCUCACCGCCCCGUGCCCCGACCACAACAAGGCCUGGUUUGCGGCUCAGCAGCUACGUGGUUCCGCCUGGCUCUGGUGGGAUCACUACCAUGCUAUGUUGCCGGCCGACCAUGUCGUCAGCUGGAACGAGUUCAAGACAGCGUUCAGAGGGCAUCACAUCCCGGAAGGUCUCCUGGAGCGCAAGCUCAACGAGUUCCUGGCUCUUACCCAGGGAAACCGAGAUGUCCUGUACUACGCCCAAGCUUUCAAUGACCUGUGCCGUUAUGCCGGCUAUCAUACGGGCACCGACAAAAAGAAGCGGGACAGAUUCCGCCGAGGGCUAAGUCUGGAGCUCAGAGAGAGGUUGAACCCUAUUAAGGUGGAUACCUACAACGAGUUGGUCAAUUUGGCCAUCUCAAAAGAGGACUGCAUGCAGGCUCUCAAAGCCGACCAGAAGAGAAAGGCCUCCAUGGCAUUUCCAAGCCCGCCCGCUCGAAGGUUCAGAAUGGUUCCUCCACAGGCGCCCAGCCGACCCAAGCAGUCGGGAAGAUGGGUUGCCCGACCCCCACCAGCAGCAGCGCCUUGUUUUCCUGGCUUCCAACCACAGGUGCCCCGGACGACCCUGCCACCACCACCACGUCCUGCAACUGGUAACCGCUGCUUCACCUGCGGCAAUGAAGGGCAUUUCGCUAAGGACUGCCCUAGGAACAGGAAUCAGCAGACUAGCCAGAACCCCAUGGCGAACAGAGGAAGAAGGCCCAAGGUGCAAGUCCGCCAAGGAUGGAUCAACUACACCAGCUUGACCCAGCUCCCCGAAGGUGCGCCAGUGAUGACGGGUACUUUCCUUGUCUUAAAUCAAACUGUUGUUGUGUUGUUUGAUUCGGGAGCCUCCCAUAGCUUCAUCGGGAGUAAGACUAGAGAAAGAUGUGAGCUAAGUGUCGGUCACACUAAAGGAUCAUAUGUGAUCUCCACUCCUGGAAGGAAGAUAGCCUCGGACCAGAUCGUUACUCUUGUACCUCUCCAGCUAGGCCAAACUCUUUUCAAGGAAAAUCUUAUCAUCCUUGACCUGGAAGGAAUAGAUAUCAUACUUGGGAUGGAUUGGAUGACCAGACACCAAGUGGUUCUGGAUACAGCUGCCCAAACUCUCCAUAUCAACUCACCCUUUCAUGGCAGUUCUUGUAGGGAUACGAGGUAGGCUACACUAGCGCAAUUCAAAAUUCUACCGCGUAUAACCAGGAAGAACUGCCGUAUAAGGAUCACGGGAUUACCACUCGACGCACUACUGGUGCGAAAGAUGUAGAUAUGCGUCGAUGCAGUGAAGACGAUCACGUAGUCGUACGUAGUCGAUCAGCGUAGUCGUACGUAGUAGAUCACGUCCAGCAGCUCCUCAGCAGCUCGUCCACGUGCAGCAAGAUCGCCUCCAGUACCGCGGCUCGUCGUUAGCUCGUCGUGGCUCGUCGGCGGCUCGUCCAAGUGCUGCAGGCGUAACACCUCCAAGGUAUCCACACGUGCAGGGAGGAAGCGUCGCAAGCCGGACUACUAGAUCCGUGAGUUGCAACAGGCGAGGGCGUGGGAGGCGCGGCAGGUGUGUUUCGCCAAAAAGGUGUAAACCCUAGGGCGCCCCCACCCCUCUAUUUAUAGAGGUUCCUGACGGGCCUCUGGAUCCGAGGCCCAUUAGUACUUCUAAACCUAAUCCAACUCGGAUCGGAUCCAAAUUGGGCUUCCAGCCCCUUAAGUGUGUGACCCUAUGGGUUCGGAUACGUAUAGACAUAGCCCGAGUACUCCUACUCGGCCCAAUAGUCGGUAGCGGCCUCUAGCAAGACGUGCCAACUCCUAUACGCACACGAAGAUCAUAUCAGACGAACCAUCACAACAUAAUAUACAUGCUAUUCCCUUUGCCUCACGAUAUUUGGUCUAGCUUCAAGCCGACCGCUCUUUCUCGACCUUGUGAUUCGGAAUCCCUUUGUAGGUUAACUCUUAACCGUACGUAGCAUGGCCAUGCAUUUUCGGAUCCGAUCACUCGAGGGGCCCAGAGAUAUCACUCUCAAUUAGAGAUGGGCAAAUCCCAUCUUGAUUGACCAUGUCUCAUAGCAUGCUUCUUGACAAACCCGAAAACUACCUUUAUAACUACCCUGUUACGGCGUAGCAUUUGAUAGCCCCUAAGUAGGUCGAUCCACAUCUAGAAUACAUGUGACAAUCUCAGGUCUAAGGACAAAGCGUAUAUGUUGUUUAAAGAGAGAACUACUUCUCGUGUUGGGUCAGUCCUAGCACAUGUCUCCACAUGUGUCCACAUUAUUAGUUCAACAUCUCCAUGUCCAUGACUUGUGAAACAUAGUAAUCAACUAAUACAUGUGCUAGUCUAAUAUUCAUGUGUGUCCUCACAUGAACUCCGACUAGGGACAACUUUAGAAUAACCAUACAAGUAAAGAGUUUCACAUACAAUUCACAUAAUUGCAAAUCAAUUCAAGUAGCCUUCAAUGAAUAUUCAAUGAACACAACAUACAAAUCAUGGAUACAAAUGGAAUAUCAUCAUCUCUAUGAUUGCCUCUAGGGCAUACCUCCAACAGUUCUACCAUACCCUUGAAACCCCCUAAGUGCGCACUUCCCUGUGCGUACCCUCUAUUGGAAGCCCGGCUAGAAAGCCUCCCUGUUGUCUGUGAGUACCCGGAUGUGUUUCCAGAGGACUUGCCCGGCAUGCCACCCUAUAGAGAUGUGGAGUUUUCCAUAGAGUUGAUCCUCGGCACCGCUCCGAUAUCCAAGAGACCCUAUCGGAUGCCACCUGUUGAGUUGGCCGAGUUGAAGACCCAGUUGCAUGAUCUGUUGGAAAAAGGCUUCAUCCGACCUAGUACAUCACCCUAGGGUUGCCCAGCCCUGUUUGUGAAGAAGAAGGACGGGAGUCUACGCAUGUGCGUGGACUACCGACCCUCAAUGCGAUGACUGUCAAGAACAAGUACCCACUCCCCCGCAUCGAUGUAUUUUUUGAUCAGUUAGCUGGAGCAAGAGUGUUCUCCAAGAUCGAUCUUUGUUCAGGUUAUCACCAAAUCAAGAUCCGACCCUGCGACAUCCCCAAAACAGCCUUCUCCACAAGAUAUGGACUAUAUGAGUACAUGGUCAUGUCUUUUGGACUCACCAAUGCACCCGCAUACUUCAUGUAUCUCAUGAACUCGGUGUUCAUGUCCGAGUUGGACAAGUUUGUGGUGGUGUUCAUUGAUGAUAUCCUAGUGUACUCGAAGAACGAAGAAGAACAUGCCGAUCAUCUUCAUGUAGUUCUCCAACGGUUGAGAGAUCAUCAGCUCUAUGCCAAGUUCUCCAAUUGUGAAUUUUGGUUAGAUAGUGUCAAGUUCUUGGGACACACUAUCUCUCGGAAUGGCAUAGCCGUCGACCCCAGCAAGGUGCAGGAAGUCAUGUACUAUCGGCGCUUCAUACCAGAUUUCUCCAAGAUAGCUAAGCCGAUGACAGAGCUGCUGAAGAAAGAGGUCAGAUUUGUGUGGAACGGCAAGUGUGAGGAAUCCUUCAAGACCCUGAAGCACUUGCUGACCACAGCCCCAGUUUUGGCUCAACCCGACCCCUCUAGGCCGUUUGACGUGUACUGUGACGCCUCUGGCACUGGACUUGGGUGUGUUCUUAUGCAAGACAACCGAGCCAUUGCCUAUGCCUCACGGGCGUUACGACCUCAUGAGCUGAACUACCCAACCCAUGAUCUUGAGUUGGCAGCAGUGAUCCAUGCCUUAAAAAUAUGGAGGCACUAUCUGAUGGGCACUUACUGAAACAUCUACACCGACCACAAGAACCUCAAGUACAUCUUCACUCAAGCCGACCUCAACAUGCGCCAAAGAAGAUGGUUGGAGUUGAUAAAGGACUAUGAUUUGGAAGUGCACUAUCACCCCGACAAGGCCAACAUGGUGGCCGAUGCGCUCAGCCGCAAGACCUUUUGCAACUGUCUGUCGGCAACAACCUUCACCGAGACCCUGUGUCAUGAGAUGGGAAAACUUAGUUUGGAAAUUAUUUCCCAUGGAACCCUCGGCCACAUAUCUCUUGAGUCUAUUUUGGAAGAUCAAAUAGGAUCAGCCCAAUUAGAGGAUGAGGAAGUAAGGCGGAUCACAAGGAAGAUUUCAUUGAAGGAUGAAGGGUAUAAACAAUUCCGACAGGAUGAGACUGGGAAGGUGUAUUAUGGAACCCAACUUGUUGUACCAACCGACCCCAAUCUGAGAAAGCAAAUCCUAGAUGAGUCUCAUCUCUCUAAGUUCUCAAUCCAUCCUGGUAGCAAUAAGAUGUACCAUGAUCUCCGUCAAACCUUCUGGUGGAGUGGAAUGAAGCCGGAGAUUGCCCGGUAUGUUUCAGAAUGUGACACUUGCCAACGUGUCAAGGCUAGCCAUCUAAAGGUAGCAGGUACCCUGCAGCCCCUACCUAUUCCCUCUUGGAAAUGGGAAGACAUCAGCAUGGAUUUCAUUGUUGGGCUGCCCCUUACAUCGCAGCGACAUGAUUCCAUUUGGGUUGUAGUGGACCGCCUGACCAAGACCGCCCACUUCCUUCCUGUCCACACCACCUACACGGCCAAGAAGUAUGCAGAGUUGUAUCUUGACCGCAUUGUUUCCCUACACGGUGUGCCUAGGACGAUCAUCUCUGAUCGAGGAGUUCAGUUUGUAGCACGCUUUUGGGAACAGCUACAAGCAUCAAUGGGCACCAAGCUCAUCCGUAGCUCAACCUAUCAUCCUCAAACUAAUGGACAGACUGAAAGGGUUAAUCAGAUUCUUGAAGACAUGUUGAGAGCUUGUGUCAUCCAUUAUGACAAAAAUUGGGACAAGUGCUUGCCCUUGGCAGAGUUCUCCUAUAACAAUAGCUACCAGACUAGCUUGAAGAUGGCACCAUUUGAAGCAUUGUAUGGUCGGAGAUGUUGAAUUGGUCACAAGCUGGAGAAAGACAAACAUAUGGUCCUGAUCUAGUGGUAGAAGCCGAAGAGCAAGUAAAGGUAAUUCAAGCAAAUCUCAAGGCCACCCAAUCUCGACAGAAGAGUUACUUCGACAGGAGAAGAAGACCCCUGCAGUUUGACAUUGGUGAUCAUGUGUAUCUUCGAGUCUCCCUGACCAAAGGAGUGCAACGGUUUGGAGUAAAAGGAAAAUUGGCUCCCCAUUACAUCGGCCCAUAUGAGAUUGUGAAAAUUUGUGGACCCGUUGCCUAUCGGAUCCAACUCCUAGAACAACUCUCGGCCAUACAUAAUAUUUUCCAUGUGUCUCAACUGAAGAAAUGUGUCCAAGUCCCAGUCAAGAUCUUAGAGCAAGAGCAACUUCAACUUGACCUAUGCCGAGUACCCGGCCAGAGUUCUCGACCAAAAGGAGAGGCGCACCCGACGCCAAGUGGUGAAAAUGUACAAGAUCCUAUGGAAUAACCACACCGAAGAUGAAGCAACAUGGGAAACAGAAGAGUACUUGAAGAAGCUUUUCCCAGGUUUCCUUUCCAAACAAGGAGGUAAGGACUACACACCCCCACCGGUUACUUCUAUAUCCGAAUCUCGGGACGAGAUUCUUUUUAAGGGGGGUAGGUUGUGACGACUGACCCCAAAUCCUUCGAGUUAAUCUUAAUCCGAGUCCCUAAUCCCCCUCUCAGUUUCCCCGAGUUGAGUGCUCACCCUCAAUUCUGGUCCCGACCCCCGAUCCCGACCCCUGAGAUCGGACCCCUCUCCGCUGGUGGGGGCUCCGACCCCUACCGAGUCCAAACCCAUACCACCGGAUCUCCUAAGUCUCCCAACAGCAGUCUCCCUUCAAUCUGUGCAGUGGACCAACCGAGACUGACUGGUGGACCCACAAAAUCUUUUCCCCAGAUCUUCCGCGACAGACGCACUCGAGUGGCAUACUCGCUUCAGAGUUCCCCCACCGCGUGGCUCAACUUCUCCGACCCCGGCCGCGACAGUCCCUUUCCCACCUUGUCAGAGCUGCGCCCCGACAGUCUGUUGCUUCAUGCUCGCCCAUGCGACCGCAGCUCGCCUGUCUUCUCACCUAUGCGCCCUCGCUUCUAGCGCCGUUCCCUCGGUCACGUCCUUCAGAUCCGCUGCACGACGACGCCCGCCUCCGCCAAAUCUCAACCACCGGCAAAACCACGCCUGUGCUACCCUGUCUCUAGUGCCCAAUGGCCGACGGUGUCGUCCCUGAAGUCCUGCUCCGCCACCCCGUUGCUCAAUCGCCGCCCCGGCAGAGCACUCGAUCGCUUCUUCCCGGUCUUCGUGCUACUCCAGCUCUCUCUCUUCCGCGCAGCUAUAAAAGGGAAGGCCAGAGCCCCGCUGGAGUCCCCUUCGCCAACGCUUCCCUCCCGCCUUGCUCUCUAUUUCGUGCUCGAGUGCUAUAGCCUAAGUCCCUAAGGAACUCUCCUCUCCGCUCCACGCCCACCCUUCCAAUCCACCCAGCCGCUUGCUCCUCCGCGCUGCGCAAGAGCUUGCUUGUUUCCAUAUGAAACACUGCCACCGCCGCCGGAGCACCGCCGGGCAUCGCCGUUGCCCAAGUCCUAGUGCUUCCCUCCUUCCGCCCAAGUCUGCUCUUUUCCGACCCCAAGCUUCACCUGGAAGACGAAGGUAAGCUGCCAACCCUUUUUCCGCCUCGUCCGACCCCUUCUGUUCGUCCGACCCUUUUUUCGCCUCGUCCGACCCCUUCUGUUCGUCCGACCCUUGUCCGCCUCAUCCGACCCCUUCUAUCCGCCGACCCUUUCUCCGCCUCGCCCGAGGGCUCGGCUGUAUCCUUUUCCUUCGCUUGAGGGUAUAUGUGUAAAGAUUUGGGGACUUCUCUGCGUUAAGUCUGAGGACCCCCAGCACAUCUAUUCCCUUGAUCUAAGGGUCAGCUCAUAAGUUCCUUCCCAUCCGACCCUUAUAUCUUGAUCUCAACCCACCUAAGUACACUUCCCUACCUUUUCUGUAGCUUUGCUACCAGUGUCCGAGCCUUAACUCACAAGUGUUGCUGUUGUUUAAACCGUCUAAAAGUGCUAACUCUUGCAUUUGCAUUUCGUGUAGAGUUGCAUCUCACUGAUGGUGACUACGAGCUGUAUCCGGCGCCCGAAGAAGGAGUUGCAGCAGAGCUCCCGCCUCCAGAAGCCGGAGCUGCCCCCGCAGAAGACCCCUUCCCUUCCUCCUCGUUUGAAGGCAAGCCCCGGAGCAUGAACCCAAUUUUUCCCAAACUUGCGCAUGCCUUCUCCAUCUAGUUUUGUGCAUUUACGUAUAGGUGUUGUUUGAAACCGUAGAUUGCAUGACUUAGUUCCCUUGAGCUGAACACUAGUCUGCUGGGUCCGAGUUGUUGCUAUGCUUAAUAGGGAGCGGUAAAAGCCGAGUGAUCUCCUGUCACUUGCGAGUUCAUAGGAGUUGGUUGUUUCUCUUCUGUUACAACUAUAAGGACGAUGGACGGGGCAGGGUUUUGGUUAACUCUUUGGUAGUCGGCUGAUCGCCCCGUCUAUCUAUGGAACUUGUUAAGGCCCGACACUGGUGGUGUUCGUGAUCAAGCGUUUGAAAGUACUAACCUCAUACUCAGUAUGGGAUGAGGAAGCCGAGUACCGGAUUGAACCUAGACGUGAGCGGUCGCCCCAUUGUCCUUGGAAGGGAGUUCCCCUGCGGUCGCACGUGGUGGCAAGUGUGGUCACAGAACGGCAGAGGCCGGGUCUGUGGAACAUUGCACCAAAGGAAAUGGGCCUGACACGGGUUAGGGGAUUUAUGGGGAAGGCCGACACGGGAAGCGACCCUGGGUGGUGCGCGGAUGUCGUGAGGUUAGGUUCGCCAUGCAUGGUUAAAGAACUCGAAUCGAUUCGUCUGCCUCUCACAGUUUGAGACUGCUUGAUCGCUAUGCUACACUGAGUAACAAUGAAAUAUAAUGAUGACAUGGUCUUGGUGAUGUUAUAUAUACCCUUUUGGUUGGUUCUAUGCUUGCUUAGAGUAGGUUGCUAACUUAGACCGGAUAACGAACUUAGAAUCUGAGCUAAAACUUUGAAAAUAAGGAUCUACAUAGUGCUUUUGGCAAAAAAAACCCUCUCAGCCAAAGAGCCGACAUGUCUAGAAGUGGUGGAG
RNAcentral lists this long non-coding RNA (11567 nucleotides) under Setaria viridis. RNAcentral describes it as "long non-coding RNA (SVIR_LNC003293)". Lineage: Eukaryota; Viridiplantae; Streptophyta; Magnoliopsida; Poales; Poaceae. The record is from RNAcentral.